Panicum virgatum (switchgrass) is the source of this 1813-nucleotide long non-coding RNA. RefSeq lists it as uncharacterized. The record is from RefSeq and is a predicted model, not a curated record. The transcript has 8 exons. Lineage: Eukaryota; Viridiplantae; Streptophyta; Magnoliopsida; Poales; Poaceae.
GAGCUCUGCUUUCAUCGACCCCCGCCUUCAUGCUGCCGCUGUCGGAGAUCCGCAUAUCGGAAGGACGAGGAGAUCGACAUUGAGAUUCUUUGUUUACAGAAGCUGAUCUGCGAGAUUCUCCACUCCGCCGAUUCCUAUGUGCCGCCGCCACCACCGCUGAGGUCGCCGUCAAGCUUUGAGCUCAUCGGGAGCAAAAUAUCCUCUGAUUUGAAUCUCGAUUAUUUAAUAAUCUCGAUUCGAAUAUUUUCAUGAAAACUCUUAUCGCGUUCUAAAUAUUUGCAAAAAGGGACCCUAGUAUUUACAAAUAUCCUCUAAUUUGGACCGUGAUUAUUUAUUGUGAUUUGAAUAUUUGCAAAAAGUAUCCUAGUAUUUUUCAUAUAGCCCCCUAGAUGGGUAGGAAUUUUUUGCAGCCGCCGUGGAGGAGUUCCGUUCAGCCUCGAAUCUCAGGGAAGACGAGGAGCACGAGCCGAGCGAGGCGGCCAUGGCGGAGCUCGCCGCGAACCAGCAGGUGCACUACAUCGUCGCCGCGGAGAACAGGGAUUCGUUCGACUCGCUGCUGAUGAAGCACAUCCGGCUCAACGGCGCCUACUGGAGCUUCACCACGCUGAACCUCCUCCACAAGCUCCACGCCGUCGACGCCGCCGAGGUCGUCGAUUGGAUCAUGUCCUGCUAGGCUGCUACCACCCGAAUCUGGUGGAUUUGUUGGAAACGUCGGGCACGAUCCGCAUGUGACAUGUCCGAUACACGCUCAGCGCCGGUCCUCUGUCUCUUCGAUUGGCUCGAUGUCCUUGAUGUGGAUAAGGUCGCUGAUCUUGAAUUGGCUUCACGCUGUUGGAGUAUCUUUGUAAACUUGAGAUUGCCAAUGCCCUAAUGAGCAAAGCAAAUCCUGCAUCCCUAGUUUAUUAAGCUGAUUGAACUUGAAAUCCAGUUCCUUUUUUCAUAUCUAAACCAUGUUAGAUGUCACUGGACUGCAAAAAUGAGGAUGAAUUAUUUUCUGGUGAAAUCUAGGGUGAAGUCGACCCUAGGUUCUCGUAUAUUGCCCUAUGUACCUUAUCGAUGCUACACUGUCUGCAUAAAAUUGAUAUGCAAAAGGCUGUAGAUUUCGUUGUUAACUGUAAGAACUUGGAUGGUGGAUUCGGAGCUGUGCCACGAGGGAGUCUCAUUCUGGCAAAUUGCUGGGCCUCUGCAUCACAUUGAUAGAGAUCUCCUUGGAUGGUGGCUUUGUGAGUGCCAGUGUAAAGUUGGAGGACUUAAUGGGCGGCCCAAGAAACUGGCUGAUGUUUGCUACUCAUGGUGGGUGUUAUCAAGCUUGAUAAUGAUUCAUAGAGUUUAUUUGAAAAAAAAUGAUUGAUAGAGUGCAAUGGAUUGACAAAGAAAAGCUUACAACAUUCAUCCUAAACUGUCAGUUCCAACUCUUCUCAUUUGUGUUGAUCGGCUAGACAAAGAGAAUGGUGGCAUAUCAGAUAGACCAGAUAAUGCAAUAGAUACCUAUCACACAUAUUUUGGAGUUGCAGGGCUUUCAUUGAUGUGGUACCCUGGGGUGUGAAGCCUAUGGAUCCUGCCUAUGGCUGCAGUUGGAUGUUGUCAAUCGGAUUUUCUCCAAGAUGUGCAGCCCCCCACGGCGUUCCUCAUUGUUCCUCCCUUCCAGUAUGUCCUGCUCCUGAUGGCACCGGCAAGAGCACCGAGCUCAAGUAAGACAACAGACGUGUAGAAGAGCAUGUUUAUUUUUCAACAAAAAUUCUAAUGCCUUUAUUCAGUAACUGGAUAAAUAAAAUUUCACAUAUGUGAGCACUGGAACCAGUGCUGUUCUAAA